CCUACGGGUGGCAGCAGUGAGGAAUAUUGGUCAAUGGGCUUACGACUGAACCAGCCAAGUCGCGUGAGGGAAGACUGCCCUAUGGGUUGUAAACCUCUUUUGUCAGGGAGCAACGCCGGCUACGUGUAGCCGGACUGAGAGUACCUGAAGAAAAAGCAUCGGCUAACUACGUGCCAGCAGCCGCGGUAAUACGUAGGGGGCAAGCGUUAUCCGGAUUUACUGGGUGUAAAGGGAGCGUAGGCGGCGUGGCAAGUCAGAAGUGAAAGCCCGGGGCUCAACUCCGGGACUGCUUUUGAAACUGUAUGGCUAGAUUGCAGGAGAGGCAAGUGGAAUUCCUGGUGUAGCGGUGAAAUGCGUAGAUAUUAGGAGGAACACCAGUGGCGAAGGCGGCUUGCUGGACUGUAAAUGACGCUGAGGCUCGAAAGCGUGGGGAGCAAACAGGAUUAGAUACCCGAGUAGUC
Molecule: ribosomal RNA, 461 nt
Filed under: uncultured bacterium
Lineage: Bacteria
Description: partial 16S ribosomal RNA
Rfam family: Bacterial small subunit ribosomal RNA
Source: RNAcentral